UGACUAAUGUAUAGAAUGGAAUGAUGCAUCAAGACUUCCACUUUUCAAGCCCAAACAUUGCGGCAAAAAUGAAAGAGAACUUCAAGGGGCAAUAGAAGCGACAGCAAUCUAAGCCAUCCAAUUCACAGCUACACUGCAUUCACUGGCUGCACAACAGCAUCUCUCUGUGUCUUACACCUAUUGCAUUGUGAUCGAGAUGCAUAAUUAUGAUUGUUGCAAUUUGUACACAUCCAAUCUCCAUUACGCCAUUGCUUUGCUCCUUUUCCAAGGAGUGCAGGUGUUGCUACUUGAAGUGGGAAUUGCAAUGGUGCCUGCCAAUUUGGAGCUGCACCUGAGUUAACACUGGGAUAGGGAGCAUACAAUCCUGGUCUUGGAUCACCAGUGUUCCCUACCAUUUGGUUGAAUCCUGUAUAUGUUUGAUGUCCUCCAUUUGUCUGCAUAUUAUUUCCUGAAUUCAGUCUCUUGUUCUCCCAGUCCUGAGUAAAAUCUUCAGAUGCCAAUCGCUUUGUUCCAAGUGCUGGUGGUAUAGAAGCAUUGCAAUUUUUACACUGUGCACGUGAAGAGUAAUUAUGGAAGCCACAAUUACACAUCCAAUCACCAUUUCGCCAUCCUUUUGGAACUGUAAGAGGUUGAUUUAUGGGGUUUGCAUAUGGAGGUCCAGAAAUCUGGUUUCCACCUAAAGGCCAAGUAGAAGCUGACUGAACUUCGUACUUAUCAGGUCCUCCAGCAGACCAGGUUGAAGCAAAAGGAAGUGGCUGCUGGAGAGCACCAUUGCUAGCAAAUCCAAUAUUCAUCUUUUGUUCCAGUCCUCCUGGGGCCCUGGCAAAAUAAUGUGAAUAAGUUGGGAGAGAAGCUCCAGGCAUUGCAAUUGCUGGCAUUGCUGCUACCUCCUUUGGUUGACCACAUUUUUUGCACUUUUCUCUUGAUGCAUAAUUGUUGUUAGUGCAACCGGUGCAGAUCCAAUCGCCUAUGCGAGGAAGCCAUUUGGAAUCCGCAGGGGUUUUGGUGUCGACGAGAAGACGAGGCUGCUUGCAUCUAUUGCAGAAGGAUCUAAAGGCGUAGUUCCUGUUCUUGCACCCACUGCACUCCCAGUCUCCUUCUCUUCCUUCUCCCAUUCUGGUUGCUUCUCUUCCUUUCCCUUCCUCUUUCUGCGUACCGUCGACAGUGAAAUUUGAUUAAAAGUUCGGUGUUCUUUUGAAUUUUUUUUUUUUUUUCAGGUUG
Molecule: unclassified non-coding RNA, 1221 nt
Filed under: Hevea brasiliensis (rubber tree)
Lineage: Eukaryota; Viridiplantae; Streptophyta; Magnoliopsida; Malpighiales; Euphorbiaceae
Source: RNAcentral